This 368-nucleotide ribosomal RNA is filed under the name uncultured organism. RNAcentral's name for it is "bacterial SSU rRNA". It matches the Rfam family "Bacterial small subunit ribosomal RNA", at positions 526 to 896 of the family's 1533-position model. The record is from RNAcentral.
CGGAGGGUGCGAGCGUUAUCCGGAUUUACUGGGUUUAAAGGGGGCGCAGGCGGGCCUGUAAGUCAGUGGUGAAAUACUUGGGCUCAACCCGGGAACUGCCAUUGAUACUAUAGGCCUUGAGUGACGUUGAGGUUUGCGGAAUGGGUCAUGUAGCGGUGAAAUGCAUAGAUAUGACCCGGAACACCUAUUGCGAAGGCAGCAGGCUAAACGUAUACUGACGCUGAGGCCCGAAAGCGUGGGGAUCAAACAGGAUUAGAUACCCUGGUAGUCCACGCCCUAAACUAUGGAUACUCGACAUAUGCGAUACACUGUAUGUGUCUGAGCGAAAGCAUUAAGUAUCCCACCUGGGAAGUACGGCCGCAAGGCUG